RNAcentral lists this transfer RNA (74 nucleotides) under Thermoproteota archaeon. Its description in RNAcentral is "Crenarchaeota archaeon (sediment metagenome) tRNA-Arg". It matches the Rfam family "tRNA". Rfam says of the family: Transfer RNA (tRNA) molecules are approximately 80 nucleotides in length. Their secondary structure includes four short double-helical elements and three loops (D, anti-codon, and T loops). Further hydrogen bonds mediate the characteristic L-shaped molecular structure. tRNAs have two regions of fundamental functional importance: the anti-codon, which is responsible for specific mRNA codon recognition, and the 3' end, to which the tRNAs corresponding amino acid is attached (by aminoacyl-tRNA synthetases). tRNAs cope with the degeneracy of the genetic code in two manners: having more than one tRNA (with a specific anti-codon) for a particular amino acid; and 'wobble' base-pairing, i.e. permitting non-standard base-pairing at the 3rd anti-codon position. Lineage: Archaea; Thermoproteati; Thermoproteota. The record is from RNAcentral.
GGGCCAGUGGUCUAGCGGACUAUGACGUAGGCCUGCGGAGCCUAAGUUCGUGGGUUCGAAUCCCACCUGGCCCG